GGGGAAUACACUAUGGAUUUCUCAAUUACCCUAUCAUUUACCCAUCUCACUUCACUUUGUCGCGUUAUUUUGCCCUUUGUCUCUCUCUAAAUUUCGUAUCCCUCUCCAUACAACACACAAAUCUACAAUCGAUCGACCUAGCCCUCUUCUACAAGAUCCUUUUGGCGCACGAUUAAGGUUCAAUUCAGGUAAUAAUCCUAUGCAAUCGGUCAACCUAUCCCUUUUAGGUAACGAUUUCGAACAUGAUAUUUUCUUCAAUUUGUAAAUUAUACCUGCUGAAUUUUUUGUACGAGUAUAUGGUUGUAUGAAUCUGCCCUAACAGUUUCCUUCAUCUUGCCAAAUUAGCUCUCUACCUUGUUUGAAUCGUAGUUUUUUUUUCUCUUCAUCUGUCUUUAAUAGUAGAGAAUUUUGAACUUUGUUGUUCAUUAUUUUUAGGGCUUUUUAGAACUUUUUGAACAUUCAGUGUGGGGUAGGAUUUUGAAUUUUGUUCAAAGUGUUGUUGCCUUUAAUUUACUACUGUUUUUAAGGUAAAUAUCUUACUAAUGUGUACUUGUUUCUUUAAUUUACUGAGGGUUUAAAAAUUAUCUUAGUGUUGGUUUUGGCUUCUUAAAUAUUGCAAGCUAGGUGUUUGUUAAAAUAACUUAAAGAAUCAAAAAUCUAGCAUCUUGUCAUUUCUAUGUGCAUAUACUUUUUAGGAUGCAAGUAAGAAAAUCUGCUGUAAUGCCACAAAAUUAAUAAAUUUAUUAUGCUGACAGAUAAAAUGAUGAUGUUCAAUGUCCACUAUAAUUUGGGGCAAUUUUUUUUAACUAUUAGUCUGUAGGAAUAUCUUAAAAUUGAAAUUAUAGCUCCGCAAACUUGCUCCAUAUGAUUCUUGCACUCUAAAACGCUUUUGUAGAGGCCAUGGUGGUAUUUAAAGGCAAUGUAUAUUUGAGGAGCCAAGCCCACAACCUUCUUACAAUAUAAGCCCGGAUGGUCAUCCACAUGAUAGAGAAUAUUACCUCAUAUCCCUUUUUGUUGUUCCUAGGCAUUUUUAUUUGAUAUAGUGCAUGUUGACAGUUGUGAUAUGGUGCAUGUUGAUAGUUGUGAAUGUAUUAAAAUAAUUGACAAAGUUGGAUUGCCUGUUUGAUGCACUAGUAAAGUGUCUUGUCUGCUCUAUUCGAGGAAAUAAAAUCUUCAAUAUAUGUGAAAUAGUCAGAGACUCGGAACAAACAAGAAUCUCCCCUGCAUUUUAGCUGAUAACAGGACUUCUUUUCUUAAAUAGUUAGCUAGCCUUGUUUUCAAGGUCUAUGCGUCCCAUAAUCUUUAGUAUCGUUAUUAAUGUGUGCUUGUUUAUAAAAUUUUUCAACAUUAUAAUAUUGAAGCAAGCGAGCCUACUAAUCUGCAACUUUGACUUAUUGUUUAUACCAUACUCUGUUUUUUCCAAGUCAUUUUGUAAUGAACCAAAGACCGCUGGAAGGAUGUUUUAUGAUCUUGAGCUGUUGAAAAUUGUUCUUUCUGAAGAAGCUUGUUAAUAAUGUUGUUCUAUUGCUUACCUUUAUAAGUUUUGUGGUAUAUCUUUAAAUUAUCUGGUAAUUAGUCACCUUUUUUCAAGCAGAUUAUACCAUGAAUUUUUGAAAUCUUUUUGACAGAGUCGACCGAACCCCAUUGUCAGUUCGUCAUAGCCGCCUCAUUUAUAUUUCUGAUUUUGCUAUAGACAUUUUCAGUGUUAGUUCAACUUAUCUUAAGCAAUCCAAACUAUUCCCCAAUAAGUGUUUGAUUUCUAAUAUCCUAAUAUUUUGUUUCUGUUCAACUGAUUUUGUAGUAGCAGUUGAUAGAUACUUUGAAGGCCCAGUUUGUUGCUUACCAAGUACUUCAUAAGGAGUUAGCAGCGAAGUUGACCAAAUUGACAGAAUUAGUUGAGAAUCAACAGGUACAAAAAGGGCAAGUUAUUGAUGUUGAAGUUUAUGUUUUUAUUUCAAUUUUGUUCAUUAAAAAUUAUUAAUAACACAAAAAUUGGAUAAUAAACUUUAGUUUCCUCUCCAGCUUUUUAAUUAUUUUUUGAAAUUACUAUCCUUUUUUAUUUUCUUAGUCUUGAGGGUGAGUAUAGUUUUUUUUGGAACAAUGAAACUUGGCUUUAAGGCACUUCCUAGCAAUAUCAAGGCACUUUUAGCUGCACAUGAUGAUUCAUCAAGAAUUGACCAGUGGAGCAUUUCAGGCCUUCGGACACCAAAGUAUAAUAUUUCAACUCUAAAAAUGAAGCUUGCAGAAGAUGAUAACUUGGAUGUGAACUAUGCUGAUGAUAUAAUUUUAUUUAAUUGUUGAAAAUAAAAAUUUUAUUUUAAAUAAUAAUUUGUAUGUUAUUUGCAAUACAAAAUAUAAGACUUUUUUUGUUGAAUAGAUCACAAAUGCUAGAGUGACACUUCUUUGUUCUGCAAUUUGUUUAUUUAAAUUUGUUCUUAGUUAAUUUAUGACAUCCUAAAAUUCAAAUUAUAAUGUCAAUUUAUUUAUUGUUUUCAAAUAUUAAUUUUAUUUUUAAAAUACUUCUUAAAUAAUAUAAAUAUCAAUAUCAAUGUAAAAGGUUAAACGAUGUCGUGGGUUAACAGCGGUGUGAUACAAAUUGUUUUUUUCCUCUUUCUUAAAUAGUCCAAAUCUGUCGUUUGCUUUUUUGUUUCAGAUAGAAAGACAAGUUCAUUCUCUUUUUAUUCUUCAAUCGAUCCCACCGCCUAGCUUCGCUCGCCUCUCGUGUCCUCCAUCACAGGUUCAUGUCCCUUUUCUCUCUCCUCUAUCUCAUACAUCUAUCCUCUGAAAUUGAUUUUCAUUUUCUAGGAUAAUUUUUUUCUUUUGCUGCUCUCUUUCAAUUCAGUAAGACAUCUAAUAUCAGUUUAUUUAUUUGUAAUUUUUCACUUGGUUCAUCCAUUUGUGCUCAAUCAAAUCUGAUUUUGGUUAUAUGUGGUGAUUUUGGUGCUCAGUCAAUUUUAAUUUUGGAUAUAUGUGCACCAAAUGUUUGAUGUAUUGUCCAUCUGUUGCACUAGCUUGUACAUUAUAGCUACAAAUUUAAUGUCAGCAUAACCCUCCCAAUUUUAAAUUUAAGUAUAAACUUAAUCCAUUUCAUUUGGAUACUCUGAACCAUGUUUUGGAAUUGAUUUGUCUAAUGUGAACUUUUAUUUGUAAAACUCUAUAUGCCCAAACUUAAUUAUGAAGCAGACGUUUGGUUGACCAUAAAUUUGUAAUUGUUUCAGCUUUUUAAAUGUAAAUAUCUAAUUCUUUGUUAUUAUAUUAUUAAUUAUACAACUUUAACAUUCUUUAACAUUAUAUACACCCGGAGAACUUGAAUGGUGCAUAACAUGUACCUUUUUGUUUAAAUGCCAAAAAGAGGGUAGACACCUAUAUUUUAACAAACUAUGUUUUACUAAUUAAGCUUAAUCUCUAAUUGGAGUUGGGUCCAGUUUACAAUUUAUAAAGUCUUUCGAAAACAAAAGGUGAGGUGACUAAUGUUUUUUUAACAUUUAUAAUUGCAAGCUUCUUAAGUUAAUUAACAUAUGGAUUUUAAUUUUGGAAAGAGGAAUGAGUUUUUGGCAAUAUCCUGUUAGCAAAUUAAUGUGUAUUCAUGCUUUCCUCUUAAAUUUUUCUUUUUAAUUGUUGUUUACUAAUUGAAUUACUAUACAGAAUGAGUUGAGAUUUCAGUUGUUCUGGUCUCCCAUUCAUUGUCUCUCUGUCUCUUGUAAGUUGCGACGUAGAACCAUUUUGUUAGCUCUAUAAAGUUCGUAAGUGAUGUUUCUCAUUUUUCAGGUUGUUGGUUAUUAUAGACUGAGCAGCCUUAAUAGUUCUAUUUUGCUUAGUGUAUGCUCUUUUUUUUGCUACGAUUACGUCUUUAUUCUCAUGUCGAAGUGUACAUUGGAAUGAUGUCAAACACUUUGAUGAGUGAAUAUGCAUUACAUUCAACACAAGUACAUGCAUAAAGUAAAAUAUCCGGCAAUUUUAUUAUUAUGUAGAGAAUAUUUUUGUCAUGAUAGCAACUGCUAAAAUAGAGUAUGCAUGUGCUCUCAUCUCAUCAGCAUCGUAUCAAGCUUUUUUUAUUAUUUAUAAUUCUAGUGACUUUAUAGGUCAGUGUGACAUACCCAUAUUCAACUGUGCUACAACAUAAUCUCACGACUAUAAACACAUGAUGAGUUGAAACUAGAAUAGAAAAUAAUCAAUACCGGGAAAAAUUGUAUGGUUAGCUACAAUCCAAUUUCAGAUCAAAGCUGAUGUGAAUGUGUAUUUCUCUCAAUCAGAUAUAUUCCUUCCUCUCUGCAUUAUGGAACUCUGUUUAUCUCUAUUUUUCUCGAAUUAAUUACUAUUUUUCCCAUCUUUGCACUAGAAGGGAUCAACGAUCUGGUGGGUUGAUGGUUUUUUUUAAAGAUUGUGUAGAAAGUUCAUUAACCCUCUAUUCUAAUGUUUUUAAUUGAUUUGAUGGGUUACUCCCUGCUCAACUUAGCUUUGGGCUUUAUGUUUAUGCCGAGUAGAACGUCAAGUACUCUCAAUUUAUGUUCUUUAUCUUUUACAGAUCUUAUUCUCUACAUGCAUGUUGGGUCGUAGUUCUUUGCAGUUCAUUUAAUUGGAGUGUACCAAUAUUUUUAUUUUUGUAAACUGUGUAGAGGAUUCCUAGUUUGACUUAAACAUGUUUAAGCAUCAACUUUAGUUUAAGCCUUUAAUGUCAUAAUUCCCAACUUUCAAGUGUCUUUUUGCAAGUUACUCAACAUUAAAGCAAUUGAAGUGCACUUAAUUAUUCAUUUACUAUUUAAUUCAUGGUGUUACAGAUGGUUGUGAAAGGGAUUGCUAAAGACUUCACGAAUAAUGAAAAUAUCAACUUCGAGGAAAAUUGGCCCAAUAUACCCUCUCCGGUUUGAGUUUAAGGGUUUUGAUAUUUCAACUUUUUAUUCUAUAAAAUACUUUUUUAGUUUUGAGGUUUUGAGCACAUAAGUUUCUUGGGAUUGUGUUAUAGUACUCUUACUUGCUUACACUUGUUCACCAAUUACCGAAAAUAGAUAGCUGCAUGAUUUAGGAAUUAGACUAUUGAUAAUGAUUAUGCUGACUACGUCUGCUUCUAGAGAUUGAGAACGAGUGUCAAACAAAAGGAAAAAACUUGGAGAUGUUAAAGUUAUUUUGGAACUGCAUUAUUGAUAGUGAUUACACUGGCUACAUCUAAGUUCUGGUGAUAUACUAUGUUCGUUGCAGAACAAUUAGCAAUGCUCAUUACGCAACAAAAGACGCAACGACAGUGAAGUCGUUGCCAAAACCCUUUUGCAACGAAAUUUGGCACCUUUAGCAACAAAAAUUGGUUGUUGCUGAAGUCCCAUUUUUUUGUAGUGCAUUUACUCUAAGACCUCAUUCACGUGUAUUUCAAAAUGGCUAGCCUAUGUUCUUCAUUUUCUUCCAACUCCCAAGCUCAUGAUCAUGAGGGAGUGAUGAUUAUGAUGAGUUCCAACAAUCAAUCUAACAACUCCUCCAUAACCUUCAUGCAAUCCUACAAUCCAUGGGUUUGAUUCAAUGGAAAAUUUCUAUGUCUGUGUAUUGAUUUUUCUAUAAAUAAGAGCUCCUUCCAUUUUUCCAAGUGUUGAGAAUUGCUAAGUGAGAGUUGAGAGCAUACAAGUAAUCUAGAGCUUGAGAGUUCAUUAGGAGCAAGUUCAUUGUAAUUAUAAAGGUAUAAAAUUCCUUCUUAUUCUUCAUUUUCAGUUUCUGUUAAAUUUCCAUUCUUGAAAUUCAAAUUCUUGAUUUUGUGGAAUUGGUUGCUAAUGAGGUUGGGUAAUGUCCAUAUAGUUGUUAUAUGACCAUAUAAGCAUGAUGCAACUGAUAUAUGAUGGUUUAAAAUCGAAAUCAUGAGUAAUUUUUGAGGUUGGGCUGGAGUUCUGCCGAAGCAGACUGCUUCUGCGCCUGAAUCAGGCAUGACGCAGCUACGCCACAUUUGUAUUGAGGCGCAUCGCAACUGCGCCGGUUGCUGAAUUCAGUUGAGCAGUCAAUUUUCAAAUCUGAUCAAUAUUGGCUAGUUGUUUUGACUCAAGCUAGCAUGUAAGCAUGUGUAUGAUGUAUAUAUGGAUACGUUAACCUAAUGUGAGCAUGUUUAGACUAGACUUGCAUGAUUAACGAAGGCGUAUGAUUUACAUGGAGAUUUAGACUAAGUUUUGAAAACAAACUAUGUUAAAUAUCAUGUUCUACAAAUUGUGAACCUAGUAAGCUAUGCAUGACUAAUUUUGCACAUAGAUGAGUAUGUUGUAGUGUAUAUAGUUCUUUUGAGCAUGUUCAAACUUACUAAGCCUUAUGUUAGAAAUAUUUUCAAUAAGAAGCUUAGCCUAGUGAGCUAACAUGCAUGAUUUUUAAAUGGUUUAUAUUUUGACUUUGAAAGCAUGUGAGUAUGACUUGGAAAUGCAUGAAUAAACCUUUAGCUUAUUUUUAUUUGAUUAGUAAGGAAACAUGAGCAUGUUGAACCUAUUAGCAAAGCUUUGAAUGUGAAUAUUGUCAAGAUACCAUGAGGACUAAAAUCUGACAUUUGUGAUCAUGUUUGAUGACACUCUUAGACUCGCUCAUGUAGCAUAACCAUAUAUAUACCAUGUUUGUGUAGCACAUUUCAAGAAAAGCAUGAACGAAGCCUAUUUUCAACUAAAGCGGUGUUAGUUUCAUGUAUGUGUUAUAAAUACACACAAGCAUGCCUAAUAUGAGUUUUUUUUAAAUAUCUUGUAUGUUUAGAAAGCAAGCAUGCUAGACCUUGUGAAUUCAUGACUUUGAAUGGCCUUAAAUUGUUAAAAUGAGCAACUUAGAACCAUGUUAUGAAAGAAGGAACCUAGAUUGACUUAAGGAGCAUGAAAAGACCUUUAACAUGAUAAAUAUAUUAUGUGUUAUUGUUUUGGUUGAGCUGGAGAGAAACCACAAGGCAGCAGCUGAGUCUUGGAAUGACCAUAGGACGACGCAGCUGCGCCGGUCCUAGGCUUAGCCAUGGCGCAACUGCGCCAGUCUGGAAUCCCAGAUAGUGAAUUCUGACUUUUGGACAGCAACUUUCAUGAUGCCUAUGAUGCUAAAUGUGAUCUAAAACCUACUGAUGUAUAUAUAUAUGAGUGAUGCCUAGUUGAUAAUUCGGUGUUGCAUUGAAAUGAAAAGUCCAUGAGUAGGAGGUCUUAACCUUGAGCAUUCUUGAUUUGCUUGUGAAGUAACUAAGUAGUUGAUUCAUGAUGACUUAUAAACUGAUUUUGUACCAUAUGUGCAUACUUGUAUCGUGUCGAGCUUGAUUAAGGACGAUGUUAGCUAAUGAACACUGUAUAUUUAUAAUACGUUAUACUAGGAUUCUAAAGUGUUGAUUUAUUAACGUGGAUAAACUACGCUUAAGGCAAGUUUCUCUAACAUUACUCAAAUUUAUAUUGAGCAAGUAUCCGAACCUUACUCUUAUUGUGCAAGUAUAAUUACAUUCUUUAUUCGACAAAUACCGUAAGCUUAUCCCUUUGAAUACAAGUUAUAUUACUUUCUCGUUCAAAUGAGCUAGUAUUUUAAACCCUUAUGAAAGCUGUUAUUCAUGUUGAACUUGGUAUUGUCCAUUGAAUAUUGUGAAAGAGUCGAUGUCAUUUGAUUCGGCUAGACUAUAUGCAUGUUUAUAAAAAAAAACUGUCCAAACCAAUUAAGUGGUGCGAAAAUCUUGAAAACUAAGUUGAACAACCCCUUUGGUAAAGGGAGUGUAUGUCGUUGGAAACCCCAACACAUGAAUGAAUAUUAUUGUGGUGUUAUGCAUAACGUAUAGUAUUGUAGAUUGAUCAUCUAUAGUACUUGAUAUUUUAAGGUUAUCAGUUUAAUAUUGGUAACUCUAGUGGAAGUUCAAUAGUCCUUAGUGACUGCUCAGUAUAAAUUGUUAUCCAGUUGGAUACCUUGAUAGUCGUUGAAUUCAUAUAUAUUUGUUGAUUUAUAUUGAAUUAUCGUUCUUAUUCAAAGAAUUGUUGAUAUUUCUUACCCAUGAUGUUAUUCUGAUACUUUGAACUAUCCUAGAAAUGGCACUCCGAUAUUUCAAACCUUAUGAUAUUAUAUCCUAUACCCUUGUUGUAUAUUACUUGUUGGACAAUUUGUGCUCAUCCUUGCUUUUAAAAAAACCUUUCAGUUAAGGCAGAACAGGGAAGUGUAUCCGGGCAGGACAAGGGCAAGGGCAAGGCUACCGACUAGCUUGUCCUUUUUAUGUUCAAAGUCUAUUAUGUUGUAUUAAGACUAUUUCAGACUAUGUUUAAGCUUAAGUAGGAUCAUGUAAUAAGUCUUUAUUAGAUAUUAUUAUGUAAUCUAUUAAGCACUGUAGGUUACGAGACUUGGGGGAAUAAUUAUAAUAAAUUAUUGUAUAUUAUUUUAAAGUAGAUUUUUCGUUGUGUAUGCGUUAUUUUAGAUAUUGUGGUUUUACCAUGAGAACGUGAUGAACCGAAUUUGAGGGACCAAGUGGAGGUCCGAAUUUGGGGGUGUCACAGGUUGGUAUCAAAGCUAUAGUUAUAAACUUUAGGAACGAGAGUCCUUAGAUUAUAACUUAAGAAAACUUAGAGGUUAGGAAGGGAUAAAAAUCACGUAGAGUUUUCCCAAAGAGACUUAACGUGUUAUGAAAUGUAACUUCAUUCUAUACAAUGAACUUAUGUUUAUUUAACAUUCUGAUGGAGUUGUUUUUUGUCUUGUCUUAUGUUGGUGAUUGUAGGAUGACUGACAUUGGAGGACCUAGUCGAGUAGUUGAGGAGGAACCGCGUGAUAUCCACGUAGUCUAUGAGACACUCGUGAUAGCGGAGCCUAUAUCGGUAGUUGUCCCUAUUAGUGAUGAUGAUGAGGAGGAGGAGAUGGUACCUCUACCUGAGGAGUCUAAUCCGGAGAAGGAGCCUAUGGAGGAGGAACCCGUGGAGGAACCCGAGCCCAUGGAGGACUCCGACGAGACUACUUUUGAGGAUUGGAUGUUGGGAGUAUGAAGAAUAGAUUUUGGAAUUAGGAUGUAGAGUCGAAGAGCUGGUGUGACGCCCCCAAAUCCGGGUACUUGAAACCCGAACUCGGUGCUUCACGAUACCAUUUCUAUAAGCUGAAUAAUACUAAUAAUAAUAACAAUAAUAUAAAAUUCAAACUUAAUUUACAUAUGCAUCAAAGUUUACUCCCAGGUACGAGACCUUUAAACAUUCAUUACAUCAUAGAUAAUAAGUAUCAUUUUCUUAAUAAACUAUAACUAUUACACAACAUUAUAUAAAUCUCAUUCGAACAACUUUCAUUUCCCCUUGUUCUUGCCUGAACCUUCUGGUUGAUCAUACUUAACUGAAAACAUUUAAAUUUAAAGCAAGAAUGAGCAUUGGAUUGCCCAGCAAGUAAUAACAACAAUAUAUAUUAGCUGAAAGAAUUAAAUAUUUUUUUUGAAAGACACUUCUACAACGAAUCAACAGUUGUGAAGUAAGCUGAACCAAUAAUAACAACAUAUCACUUCCACAUGUAAUCUUUGAAACUACGUAUAAACUAUAAUUGGAGAUCAGUCGACAGACUAUGAACAUUGUUUUUUUUUUAUUUUAGCUAGGGUUUAGCAGAACUUCAUCCGUAAACCGUCAUAACUUACGGACACGAGGGUGAUCUGCCCAAUGUGCCAUGUAUUGAUCAAUACUACAUGCAAGAACGAUAUCAUCGUUCACUCUAUCCACCUUAGGUGCACAAAAAUUUUUCCAUAUUCGGGAUGUUCAUACUUAGUUGGGAAUCCGAACCAAAAUAAUCUGGUUGGAUACAAUAACGUUCUAUCUUGUUCAACAAUAUUUUUAUGUCUAGCUGAAUCAAAUAGCUUAGACGGCUUUUAAGUCAACGUAUACAUACUUGAAAUCAAUAAGUAUGUAUCAAC
Molecule: long non-coding RNA, 9823 nt
Filed under: Panax ginseng (ginseng)
Lineage: Eukaryota; Viridiplantae; Streptophyta; Magnoliopsida; Apiales; Araliaceae
Description: long non-coding RNA (PGIN_LNC008641)
Source: RNAcentral